Molecule: ribosomal RNA, 519 nt
Filed under: Botrytis cinerea
Lineage: Eukaryota; Fungi; Ascomycota; Leotiomycetes; Helotiales; Sclerotiniaceae
Description: eukaryotic LSU rRNA
Rfam family: 5.8S ribosomal RNA (bases 169-322)
Source: RNAcentral
GAACCUGCGGAAGGAUCAUUACAGAGUUCAUGCCCGAAAGGGUAGACCUCCCACCCUUGUGUAUUAUUACUUUGUUGCUUUGGCGAGCUGCCUUCGGGCCUUGUAUGCUCGCCAGAGAAUACCAAAACUCUUUUUAUUAAUGUCGUCUGAGUACUAUAUAAUAGUUAAAACUUUCAACAACGGAUCUCUUGGUUCUGGCAUCGAUGAAGAACGCAGCGAAAUGCGAUAAGUAAUGUGAAUUGCAGAAUUCAGUGAAUCAUCGAAUCUUUGAACGCACAUUGCGCCCCUUGGUAUUCCGGGGGGCAUGCCUGUUCGAGCGUCAUUUCAACCCUCAAGCUUAGCUUGGUAUUGAGUCUAUGUCAGUAAUGGCAGGCUCUAAAAUCAGUGGCGGCGCCGCUGGGUCCUGAACGUAGUAAUAUCUCUCGUUACAGGUUCUCGGUGUGCUUCUGCCAAAACCCAAAUUUUUCUAUGGUUGACCUCGGAUCAGGUAGGGAUACCCGCUGAACUUAAGCAUAUCAA